RNAcentral lists this non-coding RNA (27 nucleotides) under Mus musculus (house mouse). The record is from RNAcentral. Lineage: Eukaryota; Metazoa; Chordata; Mammalia; Rodentia; Muridae.
UGGGACCUAACUGGAACACUUGCUACC